UGCAGUCGAACGAUGAUGCCCAGCUUGCUGGGUGGAUUAGUGGCGAACGGGUGAGUAACACGUGAGUAACCUGCCCCUGACUCUGGGAUAAGCGUUGGAAACGACGUCUAAUACUGGAUAUGACUGCCGGCCGCAUGGUCUGGUGGUGGAAAGAUUUUUUGGUUGGGGAUGGACUCGCGGCCUAUCAGCUUGUUGGUGAGGUAAUGGCUCACCAAGGCGACGACGGGUAGCCGGCCUGAGAGGGUGACCGGCCACACUGGGACUGAGACACGGCCCAGACUCCUACGGGAGGCAGCAGUGGGGAAUAUUGCACAAUGGGCGAAAGCCUGAUGCAGCAACGCCGCGUGAGGGAUGACGGCCUUCGGGUUGUAAACCUCUUUUAGUAGGGAAGAAGCGUAAGUGACGGUACCUGCAGAAAAAGCACCGGCUAACUACGUGCCAGCAGCCGCGGUAAUACGUAGGGUGCAAGCGUUGUCCGGAAUUAUUGGGCGUAAAGAGCUCGUAGGCGGUUUGUCGCGUCUGCUGUGAAAUCCCGAGGCUCAACCUCGGGCUUGCAGUGGGUACGGGCAGACUAGAGUGCGGUAGGGGAGAUUGGAAUUCCUGGUGUAGCGGUGGAAUGCGCAGAUAUCAGGAGGAACACCGAUGGCGAAGGCAGAUCUCUGGGCCGUAACUGACGCUGAGGAGCGAAAGCGUGGGGAGCGAACAGGAUUAGAUACCCUGGUAGUCCACGCCGUAAACGUUGGGCGCUAGAUGUAGGGACCUUUCCACGGUUUCUGUGUCGUAGCUAACGCAUUAAGCGCCCCGCCUGGGGAGUACGGCCGCAAGGCUAAAACUCAAAGGAAUUGACGGGGGCCCGCACAAGCGGCGGAGCAUGCGGAUUAAUUCGAUGCAACGCGAAGAACCUUACCAAGGCUUGACAUACACCGGAAACGGCCAGAGAUGGUUGCCCCCUUGUGGUCGGUGUACAGGUGGUGCAUGGUUGUCGUCAGCUCGUGUCGUGAGAUGUUGGGUUAAGUCCCGCAACGAGCGCAACCCUCGUUCUAUGUUGCCAGCGCGUUAUGGCGGGGACUCAUAGGAGACUGCCGGGGUCAACUCGGAGGAAGGUGGGGAUGACGUCAAAUCAUCAUGCCCCUUAUGUCUUGGGCUUCACGCAUGCUACAAUGGCCGGUACAAAGGGCUGCGAUACCGUAAGGUGGAGCGAAUCCCAAAAAGCCGGUCUCAGUUCGGAUUGAGGUCUGCAACUCGACCUCAUGAAGUCGGAGUCGCUAGUAAUCGCAGAUCAGCAACGCUGCGGUGAAUACGUUCCCGGGCCUUGUACACACCGCCCGUCAAGUCAUGAAAGUCGGUAACACCCGAAGCCGGUGGCCUAACCCU
This 1374-nucleotide ribosomal RNA is filed under the name Curtobacterium sp. RNAcentral's name for it is "bacterial SSU rRNA". It matches the Rfam family "Bacterial small subunit ribosomal RNA". The record is from RNAcentral. Lineage: Bacteria; Bacillati; Actinomycetota; Actinomycetes; Micrococcales; Microbacteriaceae.